GAUGAACGCUGGCGGCGUGCCUAAUACAUGCAAGUCGAGCGAACAGACGAGGAGCUUGCUCCUCUGGCGUUAGCGGCGGACGGGUGAGUAACACGUGGAUAACCUACCUAUAAGACUGGGAUAACUUCGGGAAACCGGAGCUAAUCCCGGAUAAUAUAUUGAACCGCAUGGUUCAAUAGUGAAAGACGGUUUUGCUGUCACUUAUAGAUGGAUCCGCGCCGCAUUAGCUAGUUGGUAAGGUAACGGCUUACCAAGGCAACGAUGCGUAGCCGACCUGAGAGGGGGAUCGGCCACACUGGAACGGAAACACGGUCCAGACUCCUACGGGAGGCAGCAGUAGGGAAUCGGCCGCAAUGGGCGGAAGCCUGACGGAACGACGCCGCGUGAGUGAUGAAGGUCUUCGGAUCGUAAAGCUCUGUUAUGAGGGAAGAACAAAUGUGUAAGUAACUAUGCACGUCUUGACGGUACCUAAUCAGAAAGCCACGGCUAACUACGUG
RNAcentral lists this ribosomal RNA (497 nucleotides) under uncultured bacterium. RNAcentral describes it as "partial 16S ribosomal RNA". It matches the Rfam family "Bacterial small subunit ribosomal RNA", at positions 28 to 507 of the family's 1533-position model. The record is from RNAcentral.